GACGAACGCUGGCGGCGUGCUUAACACAUGCAAGUCGAACGAGAUCCAAUCAGUAGCAAUACUGAUGAAGAUCUAGUGGCGAACGGGUGCGUAACACGUGAGGAACUUGUCCCGGUCUCUGGGAUAACAGUUGGAAACGACUGCUAAUACCGGAUGGCGUCGGAACUUCGCAUGGAGUACUGACGAAAGGGUUACUGGAU
This 200-nucleotide ribosomal RNA is filed under the name uncultured bacterium. Its description in RNAcentral is "partial 16S ribosomal RNA". It matches the Rfam family "Bacterial small subunit ribosomal RNA", at positions 28 to 220 of the family's 1533-position model. The record is from RNAcentral.